CUAGCUGUAAACGAUGGAUACUAGGCGUUGAGAGUAUCGUUUACCCUCUCAGUGUCGUAGCUAACGCGUUAAGUAUCCCGCCUGGGGAGUACGCGCGCAAGCGUGAAACUCAAAGGAAUUGACGGGGGCCCGCACAAGCGGUGGAGUAUGUGGUUUAAUUCGAUGCAACGCGAAGAACCUUACCAGGGCUUGACAUGUCCGGAACCCUGCCCAAAGGCGGGGGUGCCUACGGGAACCGGAACACAGGUGGUGC
RNAcentral lists this ribosomal RNA (253 nucleotides) under uncultured Chroococcidiopsis sp. Its description in RNAcentral is "partial 16S ribosomal RNA". It matches the Rfam family "Bacterial small subunit ribosomal RNA", at positions 796 to 1044 of the family's 1533-position model. The record is from RNAcentral. Lineage: Bacteria; Bacillati; Cyanobacteriota; Cyanophyceae; Chroococcidiopsidales; Chroococcidiopsidaceae.